This 492-nucleotide ribosomal RNA is filed under the name uncultured bacterium. Its description in RNAcentral is "partial 16S ribosomal RNA". It matches the Rfam family "Bacterial small subunit ribosomal RNA", at positions 29 to 507 of the family's 1533-position model. The record is from RNAcentral.
AGUGAACGCUGGCGGUAGGCCUAACACAUGCAAGUCGAACGGCAGCACAGUAAGAGCUUGCUCUUACGGGUGGCGAGUGGCGGACGGGUGAGGAAUACAUCGGAAUCUACUUUUUCGUGGGGGAUAACGUAGGGAAACUUACGCUAAUACCGCAUACGACCUACGGGUGAAAGCAGGGGAUCUUCGGACCUUGCGCGAUUGAAUGAGCCGAUGUCGGAUUAGCUAGUUGGCGGGGUAAAGGCCCGCCAAGGCGACGAUCCGUAGCUGGUCUGAGAGGAUGAUCAGCCACACUGGAACUGAGACACGGUCCAGACUCCUACGGGAGGCAGCAGUGGGGAAUAUUGGACAAUGGGCGCAAGCCUAAUCCAGCCAUACCGCGUGGGUGAAGAAGGCCUUCGGGUUGUAAAGCCCUUUUGUUGGGAAAGAAAAGCAGCAGGUUAAUACCCCGCUGUUCUGACGGUACCCAAAGAAUAAGCACCGGCUAACUUCGUG